This 497-nucleotide ribosomal RNA is filed under the name uncultured bacterium. RNAcentral's name for it is "partial 16S ribosomal RNA". It matches the Rfam family "Bacterial small subunit ribosomal RNA", at positions 28 to 507 of the family's 1533-position model. The record is from RNAcentral.
GAUGAACGCUGGCGGCGUGCCUAAUACAUGCAAGUCGAGCGAACAGACGAGGAGCUUGCUCCUCUGACGUUAGCGGCGGACGGGUGAGUAACACGUGGAUAACCUACCUAUAAGACUGGGAUAACUUCGGGAAACCGGAGCUAAUACCGGAUAAUAUAUUGAACCGCAUGGUUCAAUAGUGAAAGACGGUUUUGCUGUUACUUAUAGAUGGAUCCGCGCCGCAUUAGCUAGUUGGUAAGGUAACGGCUUACCAAGGCAACGAUGCGUAGCCGACCUGAGAGGGUGAUCGGCCACACUGGAACUGAGACACGGUCCAGACUCCUACGGGAGGCAGCAGUAGGGAAUCUUGCGCAAUGGGCGAAAGCCUGACGGAGCCACGCCGCGUGAGUGAUGAAGGUCUUCGGAUCGUAAAACUCUGUUAUUAGGGAAGAACAAAUGUGUAAGUAACUAUGCACGUCUUGACGGUACCUAAUCAGAAAGCCACGGCUAACUACGUG